This 492-nucleotide ribosomal RNA is filed under the name uncultured bacterium. RNAcentral describes it as "partial 16S ribosomal RNA". It matches the Rfam family "Bacterial small subunit ribosomal RNA", at positions 29 to 507 of the family's 1533-position model. The record is from RNAcentral.
AGUGAACGCUGGCGGUAGGCCUAACACAUGCAAGUCGAACGGCAGCACAGUAAGAGCUUGCUCUUACGGGUGGCGAGUGGCGGACGGGUGAGGAAUACAUCUGAAUCUACUUUUUCGUGGGGGAGAACGUAGGGAAACUUACGCUAAUACCGCAUACGACAUACGGGUGAAAGCAGGGGAUCUUCGGACCUUGCGCGAUUGAAUGAGCCGAUGUCGGAUUAGCUAGUUGGCGGGGUAAAGGCCCACCAAGGCGACGAUCCGUAGCUGGUCUGAGAGGAUGAUCAGCCACACUGGAACUGAGACACGGUCCAGACUCCUACGGGAGGCAGCAGUGGGGAAUAUUGGACAAUGGGCGCAAGCCUGCUCCAGCCAUACCGCGUGGGUGAAGAAGGCCUUCGGGUUGUAAAGCCCUUUUGUUGGGAAAGAAAAGCAGCAGGUUAAUACCCCGCUGUUCUGACGGUACCCAAAGAAUAAGCACCGGCUAACUUCGUG